GAUGAACGCUGGCGGCGUGCCUAAUACAUGCAAGUCGAGCGAACGGACGAGAAGCUUGCUUCUCUGAUGUUAGCGGCGGACGGGUGAGUAACACGUGGAUAACCUACCUAUAAGACUGGGAUAACUUCGGGAAACCGGAGCUAAUACCGGAUAAUAUUUUGAACCGCAUGGUUCAAAAGUGAAAGACGGUCUUGCUGUCACUUAUAGAUGGAUCCGCGCUGCAUUAGCUAGUUGGUAAGGUAACGGCUUACCAAGGCAACGAUGCAUAGCCGACCUGAGAGGGUGAUCGGCCACCCUGGAACUGAGACACGGUCCAGACUCCUACGGGAGGCAGCAGUAGGGAAUCUUCCGCAAUGGGCGAAAGCCUGACGGAGCAACGCCGCGUGAGUGAUGAAGGUCUUCGGAUCGUAAAACUCUGUUAUUAGGGAAGAACAUAUGUGUAAGUAACUGUGCACAUCUUGACGGUACCUAAUCAGAAAGCCACGGCUAGCUACGUG
RNAcentral lists this ribosomal RNA (497 nucleotides) under uncultured bacterium. Its description in RNAcentral is "partial 16S ribosomal RNA". It matches the Rfam family "Bacterial small subunit ribosomal RNA", at positions 28 to 507 of the family's 1533-position model. The record is from RNAcentral.